AUAAAGCAUUUUCAUAAAGAAUUCGCAUUUCAGAUUAUAUGAUUAUAUAAUGAAGGAAAUAAAAAACUUUGUCAUAUGUCUGUUUGACACGGGUUUACAACUUGUACUCAAAUCGUGCCUAAUUCUUUAGAAAAUGUAAUUUUUCCAUCAUACAAAACAAAGUCUCGAAUAAUGAAAGCUGUAAGAAACAAGGAAAUUCCACAAGAUAAUUCACUAUGGGACAUCUAUCAAGUUCUGCGCAUCAUGAGAUCUGAUGAUGAUUUCGAUAAAGCAUGGAAAAAAUUGCUGAAGGCGCGUUACAUAUCUGACAUCUCAUCUGAAGAAUCAGAUAUAGAAAAAGCAAAGAAAAGAGAACGUGUUAAAAAAUUGCCAGAUGCUAAUUUUACAUCGUCUGAUGGAGGAAACGAAAUUCCAUUGUUAUCUAAAUGGAACACAUGUACAGUUGUCCAAAAACAAAUUCCAUGAAUACACAAUUAGAGGAGUCCGACAAAGAAAAUAUGGAAUAUCAAACUAUUGAGAUCGCUGAUAUUGACAUGGAUAUGAAAUUAAUAUCUGAUAAUGAUAAUGCUGAUGAAAGUAAUGUUAUUAUACAAAAAGUGAAAUAGAACACAAUAGUCAAUUUAACGAAGAAAUGUACACUAGUGAGAGAUUUA
Long non-coding RNA from Camponotus floridanus (Florida carpenter ant), 653 nucleotides. RefSeq lists it as uncharacterized. Lineage: Eukaryota; Metazoa; Arthropoda; Insecta; Hymenoptera; Formicidae. The transcript has 5 exons. The record is from RefSeq and is a predicted model, not a curated record.